UUGGCAGGGACAUUUCUUCCUCCUCAACAGCUGACAAGACAACCAGGAGGCUGGCUAAACCCUGCUUCCCACCACAAGACUGCUGCAGCUGAGAGAUCCUAGGACACAUGACAAAGGCCAGCAGAAGAAAUGCCUCUUAUUAAAUACCUGAUUGCUUGUACAGUAAGCUUAACUUCUACUUGGAAAUACUGCUUUGGAAGAGAAAAUUAAGAAAAAACAUCAUUAAAAAAAAGACAAGGUUGGGCUUCCCUGGUGGUGCAGUGGUUG
Long non-coding RNA from Mesoplodon densirostris (Blainville's beaked whale), 267 nucleotides. RefSeq lists it as uncharacterized. Lineage: Eukaryota; Metazoa; Chordata; Mammalia; Artiodactyla; Ziphiidae. The record is from RefSeq and is a predicted model, not a curated record. The transcript is spliced from 3 exons.